CUCACUUCAGCUGUGUCUCAGAAAAAUGAGAACACUACAGGGAAGAUUAGCAUGGUCCUGCCCAAAGAUGACGUGCACGUUCGUAAGGCACUUUGUAUUGUG
Small nuclear RNA from Suricata suricatta (meerkat), 102 nucleotides. The record is from Ensembl. Lineage: Eukaryota; Metazoa; Chordata; Mammalia; Carnivora; Herpestidae.